Molecule: transfer RNA, 77 nt
Filed under: Porticoccaceae bacterium
Lineage: Bacteria; Pseudomonadati; Pseudomonadota; Gammaproteobacteria; Cellvibrionales; Porticoccaceae
Description: tRNA-Asp
Rfam family: tRNA
About the family: Transfer RNA (tRNA) molecules are approximately 80 nucleotides in length.
Source: RNAcentral
GGUCCCAUCGUCUAGGAGGCCUAGGACGCUGGCCUGUCACGCCUGAAACGCGGGUUCGAAUCCCGCUGGGACCGCCA